This 427-nucleotide ribosomal RNA is filed under the name uncultured bacterium. RNAcentral's name for it is "bacterial SSU rRNA". It matches the Rfam family "Bacterial small subunit ribosomal RNA", at positions 30 to 455 of the family's 1533-position model. The record is from RNAcentral.
AUUGAACGCUGGCGGCAUGCCUUACACAUGCAAGUCGAACGGCAGCGGACCUUCGGGUGCCGGCGAGUGGCGAACGGGUGAGUAAUAUAUCGGAACGUACCUUUCAGUGGGGGAUAACGUAGCGAAAGUUACGCUAAUACCGCAUAUUCUGUGAGCAGGAAAGCAGGGGAUCGCAAGACCUUGCGCUGAUUGAGCGGCCGAUAUCAGAUUAGCUAGUUGGUGAGGUAAAGGCUCACCAAGGCGACGAUCUGUAGCGGGUCUGAGAGGAUGAUCCGCCACACUGGAACUGAGACACGGUCCAGACUCCUACGGGAGGCAGCAGUGGGGAAUUUUGACGAAUAGGCGGCAAGACUCGAUCCACGCACUGCCGCCGUGAGUGAAGAAGGACGUCGUGUAGUAGUACUACGUCGGUACGGAACGUAAGUAC